Molecule: ribosomal RNA, 559 nt
Filed under: Micryletta inornata (false ornate narrow-mouthed frog)
Lineage: Eukaryota; Metazoa; Chordata; Amphibia; Anura; Microhylidae
Description: partial 16S ribosomal RNA
Rfam family: Bacterial large subunit ribosomal RNA
Source: RNAcentral
GAAAACCAUAGGAGGUCCAGCCUGCCCAGUGACAAAGUUAAACGGCCGCGGUACCCUAACCGUGCGAAGGUAGCGCAAUCACUUGUUCUUUAAAURAGGMCUAGUAUGAAUGGCAUCACGAGGGUUACAYUGUCUCCCCCAUCCAAUCAGUGAAACUGAUCCCCCCCGUGAAGAAGCGGGGAUAAGAAUAUAAGACGAGAAGACCCCAUGGAGCUUUAAACUCAGUAUCAACUGCUUUAGAAUAAACCUAAGUAACCUAGCAGAAAUGACUACUAGUUUUUGGUUGAGGUGACCGCGGAGCAAACACAACCUCCACGAUGAAUGGGCCUCCAACCCUUAUCCAAGARCUACCACUCUAAGAAUYAAAAAUUGACAAAAAUUGAUCCAAAUACUUUUGAUCAACGAACCAAGUUACCCUGGGGAUAACAGCGCAAUCCAUUUCAAGAGCUCCUAUCGACAAAUGGGUUUACGACCUCGAUGUUGGAUUMGGGUAUCCCAGUGGUGCAGCCGCUACUAAAGGUUCGUUUGUUCAACGAUUAAAACCCUACGUGAUCUGAGU